RNAcentral lists this ribosomal RNA (229 nucleotides) under uncultured bacterium. RNAcentral's name for it is "partial 16S ribosomal RNA". It matches the Rfam family "Bacterial small subunit ribosomal RNA", at positions 568 to 796 of the family's 1533-position model. The record is from RNAcentral.
CACGUAGGCGGUCCUGUAAGUCAGAUGUGAAAGCCCGGGGCUUAACCCCGGAAGUGCAUUUGAAACUAUGGGACUUGAGUAUGGGAGAGGGAAGUGGAAUUCCUGGUGUAGAGGUGAAAUUCGUAGAUAUCAGGAGGAACACCGGUGGCGAAGGCGACUUCCUGGACCAAUACUGACGCUGAGGCGCGAAGGCGUGGGGAGCAAACAGGAUUAGAUACCCUGGUAGUCC